RNAcentral lists this long non-coding RNA (383 nucleotides) under Malus domestica (apple). Its description in RNAcentral is "long non-coding RNA (MDOM_LNC020428)". Lineage: Eukaryota; Viridiplantae; Streptophyta; Magnoliopsida; Rosales; Rosaceae. The record is from RNAcentral.
CAAGACUUUCCACACUUCGAUUGGUAUAUCAUCUGGGCCCACUGCUUUUCUAUGCUUCAUCUUCUUCAAAGCUAUAACCACUUCUUAUUUCCUGAUUCGACGAUAAAAGGAGUAGUUUCUACACUUUUAUGAGUUACUCAACUCCCCUAAAGAAGUACUCAUUUCAUGUCCUUCAUUGAAAAGAUUAUGAAAAUAACCUCUCCAUCUGUCUUUGACCGCGUUCUCUGUAGCAAGAACCUUUCCAUCCCCAUCCUUGAUGCACCUCACUUGGUUUAGGUCCCUUGUCUUCUUUUCCCUUGCUCUAGCUAGUUUAUAGAUAUCCAACUCUCCUUCUUUGGUAUUUAGUCGCUUAUACAUAUCGUCAUAAGCCACUAACUUAGCUU